GCUAGAGUGUGUCAGAUGGAGGACGCAAUUCCGCGCGUAGCAGUGAAAAUGCGUAGAUAUGCGGAGGAACACCGAUGGUGAAGGCAGCCUCCUGUGAUAACACUGACGCUCAUGCACGAAAGCGUGGGGAGCAAACAGGAUUAGAUACCGUGGUAGUCCACGCCCUAAACGAUGUCAACUAGCUGUUGGGGCCUUCGGGCCUUGGUAGCGCAGCUAACGCGUGAAGUUGACCGCCUGGGGAGUACGGUCGCAAGAUUAAAACUCAAAGGAAUUGACGGGGACCCGCACAAGCGGUGGAUGAUGUGGAUUAAUUAGAUGCAACGCGAAAAACCUUACCUACCCUUGACAUGUCUGGAAUUCCGAAGAGAUUUGGAAGUGCUCGCAAGAGAACCGGAACACAGGUGCUGCAUGGCUGUCGUCAGCUCGUGUCGUGAGAUGUUGGGUUAAGUCCCGCAACGAGCGCAACCCUUGUCAUUAGUUGUUACGAAAGGGCACUGUAAUGAGACUGCCGGUGACAAACCGGAGGAAGGUGGGGAUGAAGUCAAGUCCUCAUGGCCCUUAUGGGUAGGGCUUCACACGUCAUACAAUGGUCGGGACAGAGGGUCGCCAACCCGCGAGGGGGAGCCAAUCCCAGAAACCCGAUGGUAGUCCGGAUCGCAGUCUGCAACUCGCAUGCGUGAAGUGGGAAUCGUUAGUAAUCGCGGACCAGCAUGUCGCGGUGAAUACGUUCCCCGGUCUUGUACACACCGCCCGUCACACCAUGGGAGUGGGUUUUAGCAGAAGUAGUUAGCCUAAC
Molecule: ribosomal RNA, 796 nt
Filed under: Achromobacter sp.
Lineage: Bacteria; Pseudomonadati; Pseudomonadota; Betaproteobacteria; Burkholderiales; Alcaligenaceae
Description: bacterial SSU rRNA
Rfam family: Bacterial small subunit ribosomal RNA
Source: RNAcentral